Molecule: ribosomal RNA, 570 nt
Filed under: Pichia sp. Yeast 2
Lineage: Eukaryota; Fungi; Ascomycota; Pichiomycetes; Pichiales; Pichiaceae
Description: eukaryotic LSU rRNA
Rfam family: Eukaryotic large subunit ribosomal RNA
Source: RNAcentral
CACGAGUCUUGCCCAGUAGCGGCGAGUGAGCGGCAAGAGCUCAGAUUUGAAAUCGUGUUUCGGCACGAGUUGUAGAGUGUAGGCGGGAGUCUCUGUGGAGCGCGGUGUCCAAGUCCCUUGGAACAGGGUGCCUGAGAGGGUGAGAGCCCCGUAGGGUGCUGCGCGAAGCUUUUGAGGCCCUGCUGACGAGUCGAGUUGUUUGGGAAUGCAGCUCCAAGCGGGUGGUAAAUUCCAUCUAAGGCUAAAUAUUGGCGAGAGACCGAUAGCGAACAAGUACUGUGAAGGAAAGAUGAAAAGCACUUUGAAAAGAGAGUGAAACAGCACGUGAAAUUGUUGAAAGGGAAGGGUAUUGGGCUCGACAUGGGGGGUGCGCACCGCUGUCUCUUGUAGGCGGCGCUCUGGGCGCCCUCUGGGCCAGCAUCGGUUCCUGCUGCGGGAGAAGGGGCUCCGGAAAGUGGCUCUUCGGAGUGUUAUAGCCGGGGCCAGAUGCCGCGUGUGGGGACCGAGGACUGCGGCUUCUGUCUCGGAUGCUGGCAUAACGGCGCAAUACCGCCCGUCUUAAACAACGGG